CGGAGGAUGCGAGCGUUAUCCGGAAUCAUUGGUUAAGGUCUGUAGGCGGUUAUUAAGUCAAGGGUGAAGUUGUUGCUUAACGAUAAAUUGCCUUUGAUACUGGUAGUCUUGAAUUUGUGAAGUUGCUGGAAUGUGUAGUGUAGCGGUGAAAUGCAUAGAUAUUACACAGAACACCGAUUGCGAAGGCAUGUGACUAACAAGGAUUGACGCUGAGAGACGAAAGCGUGGGAGCGAACAGGAUU
This 242-nucleotide ribosomal RNA is filed under the name uncultured bacterium. Its description in RNAcentral is "partial 16S ribosomal RNA". It matches the Rfam family "Bacterial small subunit ribosomal RNA", at positions 526 to 779 of the family's 1533-position model. The record is from RNAcentral.